This 470-nucleotide ribosomal RNA is filed under the name uncultured bacterium. RNAcentral describes it as "partial 16S ribosomal RNA". It matches the Rfam family "Bacterial small subunit ribosomal RNA", at positions 28 to 507 of the family's 1533-position model. The record is from RNAcentral.
GACGAACGCUGGCGGCGUGCUUAACACAUGCAAGUCGAACGAUCAACCAGGGAGCUUGCUCCCUCCGGAUCAGCGGCGAACGGGUGAGUAACACGUGAGCAAUCUGCCCCGAACUCUGGGAUAAGCGCUGGAAACGACGUCUAAUACCGGAUACGACGCCGGAGGGCAUCCUCCCCUCGUGGAAAGUAGUUCGGUUCGGGCUUAGCUCUCGGCCUAUCAGCUUGUUGGUGAGGUAUCGGCUCACCACGGCGGCGAGUGGUAGCCGGCCUGCGAGGGUGACCAGCGACAAUGGGACUGAGGGACGGCGCAGACGGCUACGGGAGGCAGCAGUGGGGAAUAUUGCGCAAUGGGGGCAAGCCUGAGGCGGCAACGCCGCGUGAGGGAAGACCGCCUUCGGGUUGUAAACCUCUUUUAGCGGGGAAGAAGCGAAAGUGACGGUACCUGCAGAAAAAGCACCGGCUAACUACGUG